Long non-coding RNA from Alligator mississippiensis (American alligator), 1880 nucleotides. RefSeq lists it as uncharacterized. The record is from RefSeq and is a predicted model, not a curated record. NCBI's taxonomy places the organism in Eukaryota, Metazoa, Chordata, Crocodylia, Alligatoridae. The transcript has 3 exons.
GUCAGACAAGAAAGUACAGCUUGCAUAUACAAGCUUUGGUUUUUGCCAGUAAAUUAAAUGCCAAACUGUACUUGAGCACAAAGCCCAUUCUCAAACCUGCCAACCCAGCUUUAAGCAUCAUGAAGUCCAGGUGCAGUUCAUAUGAUAAAUGCUUCCAGACCUGAUCCAGCAUGAAGAAUCUGCAACCAAGCAUGAUCAUUUUCCCAAUUUUGAUUCCUCAUGUUGUGUAAGGGUCUGCAAAUCCACCCAGCUUGACACCAUCUGAAAAUUUACUAAACGUAUACUCAGUUCCAUCCUCCAAGCCAUAAUGAAGAUGUUGAACAGCAGUGGACUCAGAACAGACGCCUGAGGAACCCAGUUUGACACCUGUUCGAUUGAUGACUACACUUCGAGCAAUAUUAUCCACCAGUUAUGUACCUAUCUAAUAAUAGUCUUUUCCAGACCAUAUUUAUCUUGCUUGCUAGAAUAUUUUGAGCUCCAGUGAGGCACAUGUGCAGUAGGAUGAAUAUACAGUUUAGACAGAAUGCCCAAGAAACUCCAGUAUGGGAAAAUGGGGUGUAGGAAGAUUAAGCAUGCUUGCCUCAAAAAUUGAAUCAGGGACAUUCUAAUGGGAUACUUGAUCAAAAAAACCCCUACAAGUUAACUUUUUGGACAUGUCCACAUGAGCUAGCACAUGUGUGUUGUGGCAUCCCAAAUCAGUUUGAGAUGCUGCAGAAGGUAUGCCAUGAACUAAAAAAUGUUCUCCAUGCUGCAUAUUUACAACCCAGACUCUUAAGUUUGAUACCAGGGAAUCCAAGUAUCAAAAGAAAACAUGCUGGAAAAAAGCAGCAUUCUGCAUGCUCCUGGAGCAUAUCCAAAAGCAACUGGAGGCUGAGUCCUCCAAGGUGAUGAUCUAGUACCUGGCCAGAGGGUGUCUAUGCAUGCUGCAUACCCCUGCUGCUCCAGCAUGCUGCCUCAGUGUGCUGGAGGAAAUAGAAGUGGGGUAUGGCUAGCAGUAGUGGCUUAGUGGUUGGGACCCAGGCUCUGUCUUAGGUUGCUCCAGAGCCUGCCUAGCAGCCUGGGCCCAGGCACUGCAGCAGGACCAUGCAGGCUCUGGAGCAACCCAGGACAGACUCUGGAGCAACCCAGCUGCAGCAGGACUUACCAGUCCUGAAGACAGAGGCACCCCGUUUUCAGCUCCAGGUGAACAGCAGAGUCAGGAGGACCCAGAGGCUGUGGAAGGGGCCAUGGGUGAUCCUGGUAAGCAGGGACAUGGGUUUUCUUUUUCCCAUGGGAAGACAUGGAUUUUCUCAUUUAAAGGGGAAACUGUGGGUUUUCCCAUUUGCACACAGUUAUCUGCAGGCUGACAGAGUUCCAGCCUGCAAGAGCUUCUUGCAAACAGGUGGAAAACUAAGUUGGGCCAGCCACGGAGCCCACCCAGCCUGAUGGCAUCUGUGUGGGUACGUGUAGGGAUUGUGUGGUGGGGAGGGACUGUGUGGGAAGGGGGGACUGUGUAGUGAGCCCCCUCUCAUCUCACCACAGUGCAAGGCUCCCGCUGCAAGUGACAGCAGCCAGCAACAGGCCCUUGAGACACUCAUAGUCCACUGCAGGCAGAGACCCCCCACAGCGGUGUGCAGAGCUGCCUGAGUCCCAGGGGCUACACAUGGUGCACAGAGCCAGCCCGGCCCACUGGCAUGUGUUUUCAAACAGGACUGGGCUGGUUCCUACCUCCACGUGGUGGGACCACACACAUGGAGGCAAGAGCCAACCUGGCCUGAUGGCAUGUGGCUCCAGCGUGCAGUGCUGGGAGCCCCAUGUAUAGACAGCAGCCAGCCUGGUCUUGUCCAAGGGCAUAUGCCAAUGGGCCAGGCUGUAACCCCCAAGACUCAGGUGGCACCAUG